GACGAACGCUGGCGGCGUGCUUAACACGUGCAAGUCGAACGGAAAGGCCCUGCUUUUGUGGGGUGCUCGAGUGGCGAACGGGUGAGUAACACGUGAGUAACCUGCCCUUGACUUUGGGAUAACUUCAGGAAACUGGGGCUAAUACCGGAUAGGAGCUCCUGCUGCAUGGUGGGGGUUGGAAAGUUUCGGCGGUUGGAGAUGGACUCGCGGCUUAUCAGCUUGUUGGUGGGGUAGUGGCUUACCAAGGCUUUGACGGGUAGCCGGCCUGAGAGGGUGACCGGCCACAUUGGGACUGAGAUACGGCCCAGACUCCUACGGGAGGCAGCAGUGGGGAAUAUUGCACAAUGGGCGGAAGCCUGAUGCAGCAACGCCGCGUGCGGGAUGACGGCCUUCGGGUUGUAAACCGCUUUCGCCUGUGACGAAGCGUGAGUGACGGUAAUGGGUAGAGAAGCACCGGCUAACUACGUG
Molecule: ribosomal RNA, 468 nt
Filed under: uncultured bacterium
Lineage: Bacteria
Description: partial 16S ribosomal RNA
Rfam family: Bacterial small subunit ribosomal RNA
Source: RNAcentral